This 404-nucleotide ribosomal RNA is filed under the name uncultured microorganism. Its description in RNAcentral is "bacterial SSU rRNA". It matches the Rfam family "Bacterial small subunit ribosomal RNA", at positions 9 to 416 of the family's 1533-position model. The record is from RNAcentral.
GAGUUUGAUCGUGGCUCAGAUUGAACGCUAGCGGGAUGCCUUACACAUGCAAGUCGAACGGCAGCACGGACUUCGGUCUGGUGGCGAGUGGCGAACGGGUGAGUAAUGUAUCGGAACGUGCCUAGUAGCGGGGGAUAACUACGCGAAAGCGUAGCUAAUACCGCAUACGCCCUACGGGGAAAGCAGGGGAUCGCAAGACCUUGCACUAUUAGAGCGGCCGAUAUCGGAUUAGCUAGUUGGUGGGGUAACGGCUCACCAAGGCGACGGUCCGUAGCUGGUUUGAGAGGACGACCAGCCACACUGGGACUGAGACACGGCCCAGACUCCUACGGGAGGCAGCAGUGGGGAAUUUUGGACAAUGGGGGAAACCCUGAUCCAGCCAUCCCGCGUGUGCGAUGAAGGCC